This 253-nucleotide ribosomal RNA is filed under the name uncultured bacterium. RNAcentral's name for it is "partial 16S ribosomal RNA". It matches the Rfam family "Bacterial small subunit ribosomal RNA", at positions 524 to 776 of the family's 1533-position model. The record is from RNAcentral.
UACAGAGGGGGCGAGCGUUAAUCGGAAUUACUGGGCGUAAAGCGCACGUAGGCGGCUUGGUAUGUCGGGUGUGAAAUCCCCGGGCUCAACCUGGGAACUGCAUCCGAAACUGCCUUGCUCGAGUAUGGGAGAGGGAAGUGGAAUUUCCGGUGUAGCGGUGAAAUGCGUAGAUAUGCGGAGGAACACCGAUGGCGAAGGCAAUCCCCUGGACCUGUACUGACGCUCAUGCACGAAAGCGUGGGGAGCAAACAGG